AAUGAACGUUGGCGGCGUGGAUUAGGCAUGCAAGUCGAGCGCGAACCGUAGCAAUACGGGGAGAGCGGCGAAAGGGGAGAGGAAUACGUGGAUACCUACCCUCAGGUUCAGGAUAGCUAUGGGAAACUAUAGGUAAUACUGAAUAAUAUCUCCGGAUCAAAGGUGUGAUUCCACCUGAGGAGGGGUCCGCGUCCUAUUAGCUAGUUGGUGAGGUAACGGCUCACCAAGGCGAAGAUGGGUACGGGAUGUGAGAGCAUGAUCCCGCUCACUGGGACUGAGACACUGCCCAGACACCUACGGGUGGCUGCAGUCGAGAAUCUUCGGCAAUGGGGGAAACCCUGACCGAGCGACGCCGCGUGCGAGAUGAAGGCCUCGGUUGUAAAUCGCUGUCAGUGGGAGGAAAGUGCCAGUGGGUUAUCCCAUUGGUUGACCGUAUCCGCAGAGGAAGGACGGGCUAAGUUCGUGCCAGCAG
RNAcentral lists this ribosomal RNA (472 nucleotides) under uncultured bacterium. Its description in RNAcentral is "bacterial SSU rRNA". It matches the Rfam family "Bacterial small subunit ribosomal RNA", at positions 29 to 514 of the family's 1533-position model. The record is from RNAcentral.